This 298-nucleotide ribosomal RNA is filed under the name Borreliella burgdorferi (Lyme disease spirochete). Its description in RNAcentral is "partial 23S ribosomal RNA". It matches the Rfam family "Bacterial large subunit ribosomal RNA", at positions 242 to 499 of the family's 2925-position model. Lineage: Bacteria; Pseudomonadati; Spirochaetota; Spirochaetia; Spirochaetales; Borreliaceae. The record is from RNAcentral.
AGUAGUGGCGAGCGAAAAGGGAGUAGCCCAAACUUUAAAUGUGUCAAGCUGCAGAGCGUUGCAUUUAUGGNGUUGUAGGACGUUUAAGCUUAGUCUGUGAUNAGCAAAAAAGUUACAAAAUAUUUAUAUAGAAGAAUAAUCUGGAAAGAUUAACCAAAGAAGGUGAUAGUCCUGUAAUUUAAAUGUAAAUAUCUUUUUNNAAUGUUCCUGAGUAGGACGAGGCACGAGAAACCUUGUUUGAAGCUGGGGAGACCACUCUCCAAGGCUAAAUACUAAAAAGCUACCGAUAGAGAAGAGU